GGGCGGUUAGCUCAGCUGGUAGAGCAUUCGGUUUACAUCCGAACGGUCGGCGGUUCGACCCCGUCACCGCCCACCA
RNAcentral lists this transfer RNA (76 nucleotides) under Rhodospirillales bacterium. RNAcentral describes it as "tRNA-Val". It matches the Rfam family "tRNA". From Rfam's summary of the family: Transfer RNA (tRNA) molecules are approximately 80 nucleotides in length. Their secondary structure includes four short double-helical elements and three loops (D, anti-codon, and T loops). Lineage: Bacteria; Pseudomonadati; Pseudomonadota; Alphaproteobacteria; Rhodospirillales. The record is from RNAcentral.